CCUACGGGAGGCAGCAGUGGGGAAUAUUGGGCAAUGGACGCAAGCCUGACCCAGCAACGCCGCGUGAAGGAAGAAGGCUCUCGGGUUGUUAAAUUCCUUUAAUGGGGAAGAGCAGUAGACGGUACGUCUCGAAUAAGCUACGGCUAACUACGUGCCAGCAGCCGCGGUAAUACGUAGGUGGCAAGCGUUGUCCGGAUUUACUGGGUGUAAAGGGCGUGCAGCCGGGGUGGCAAGUCAGAUGUGAAAUCCACGGGCUCAACCCGUGAACUGCCUUUGAGACUGGUUCCGUAGAGUGUCGGAGAGGUAAUCGGAAUUCCGGGUGUAGCGGUGAAAUGCGUAGAUAUCAGGAAGAACACCAGUGGCGAAGGCGGAUUACUGGACGAUAACUGACGGUGAGGCGCGAAAGCGUGGGGAGCAAACAGGAUUAGAUACCCUUGUAGUC
Molecule: ribosomal RNA, 442 nt
Filed under: uncultured bacterium
Lineage: Bacteria
Description: partial 16S ribosomal RNA
Rfam family: Bacterial small subunit ribosomal RNA
Source: RNAcentral